RNAcentral lists this ribosomal RNA (318 nucleotides) under uncultured Kytococcus sp. Its description in RNAcentral is "bacterial SSU rRNA". It matches the Rfam family "Bacterial small subunit ribosomal RNA", at positions 173 to 508 of the family's 1533-position model. The record is from RNAcentral. Lineage: Bacteria; Bacillati; Actinomycetota; Actinomycetes; Micrococcales; Kytococcaceae.
AUACAUUGGUCGCAUGGUGGUGUGUGGAAAGAUUUUUGGUGGGGGAUGGACUCGCGGCUAUCAGGCUUGUUGGUGAGGUAGUGGCUUACCAAGGGCUUUGACCGGGUAGCCGGCCUGAGAGGGUGACCGGCCACACUGGGACUGAGACACGGCCCAGACUCCUACGGGAGGCAGCAGUGGGGAAUAUUGCACAAUGGGCGGAAGCCUGAUGCAGCGACGCCGCGUGAGGGAUGACGGCCUUCGGGUUGUAAACCUCUUUCACCAGGGACGAAGCUUUUGUGACGGUACCUGGAGAAGAAGCACCGGCUAACUACGUGC